Molecule: long non-coding RNA, 152 nt
Organism: Antechinus flavipes (yellow-footed antechinus)
Lineage: Eukaryota; Metazoa; Chordata; Mammalia; Dasyuromorphia; Dasyuridae
Exons: 2
Source: RefSeq, a predicted model, not a curated record
AGGAACCUGAGGCCUCAGGAAGUUGACUUAAUUUACAAGAUCACACAAGUUAUAUGGUUUCUCUCAGUGGAUGGACAGCAUCAUUUUUAUGUUGAAACUUAAAUACUAUGGACAUCUUUUAGCCAUGUAAAAUUAUUAAACAUUUAGAGCUA